CAGUCCUGGACUCUGAGGUUCUCCCACUCAGUAAUCAGUACUGCAGCACUGCACAGACAACUCACCAUGGACAUCAGGCUCAGCUUGACUUUCCUUGUCCUUUUCAUAAAAGGUGUCCAGUGUGAGGUGCAGCUGGUGGAGUCUGGGGGAGGCCUAGUGCAGCCUGGAAGGUCCCUGAAACUCUCCUGUGCAGCCUCAGGAUUCACUUUCAGUAGCUUUGCAAUGGCCUGGGUGCGCCAGGCUCCAAAGAAGGGUCUGGAGUGGGUUGCAACCAUUACUUCUGGUGGUAGUAACACUUACUAUCCAGACUCCGUGAAAGGCCGAUUCACUAUCUCCAGAGAUAAUGCAAAAAGCACCCUAUAGCUG
Rattus norvegicus (Norway rat) is the source of this 366-nucleotide non-coding RNA. The record is from the annotation of a RefSeq genome assembly. NCBI's taxonomy places the organism in Eukaryota, Metazoa, Chordata, Mammalia, Rodentia, Muridae.